UACGCAGUUGAUCCGUCAACGGAGCUUGCUCCAUCGAAAGAAAAAGAGUGGCGAACGGGUGAGUAACACGUGGGUAACCUGCCCAUCAGAAGGGGAUAACACUUGGAAACAGGUGCUAAUACCGUAUAACACUAUUUUCCGCAUGGAAGAAAGUUGAAAGGCGCUUUUGCGUCACUGAUGGAUGGACCCGCGGUGCAUUAGCUAGUUGGUGAGGUAACGGCUCACCAAGGCCACGAUGCAUAGCCGACCUGAGAGGGUGAUCGGCCACACUGGGACUGAGACACGGCCCAGACUCCUACGGGAGGCAGCAGUAGGGAAUCUUCGGCAAUGGACGAAAGUCUGACCGAGCAACGCCGCGUGAGUGAAGAAGGUUUUCGGAUCGUAAAACUCUGUUGUUAGAGAAGAACAAGGAUGAGAGUAGAACGUUCAUCCCUUGACGGUAUCUAACCAGAAAGCCACGGCUAACUACGUGCCAGCAGCCGCGGUAAUACGUAGGUGGCAAGCGUUGUCCGGAUUUAUUGGGCGUAAAGCGAGCGCAGCGGUUUCUUAAGUCUGAUGUGAAAGCCCCCGGCUCAACCGGGGAGGGUCAUUG
Molecule: ribosomal RNA, 592 nt
Filed under: Enterococcus avium
Lineage: Bacteria; Bacillati; Bacillota; Bacilli; Lactobacillales; Enterococcaceae
Description: bacterial SSU rRNA
Rfam family: Bacterial small subunit ribosomal RNA
Source: RNAcentral